UACGGGGGGGGCAAGCGUUGUCCGGAAUCAUUGGGCGUAAAGGGUGCGUAGACGGAAUGGUAAGUCAGGAGUGAAAGACUCGCGCUUAACGCGGGUUCUGCUUUUGAUACUGUCAUUCUUGAGUGCGGAAGAGGGAAGCGGAAUUCCCGGUGUAGCGGUGAAAUGCGUAGAUAUCGGGAAGAACACCGGUAGCGAAAGCGGCUUCCUAGUCCGUAACUGACGCUGAGGCACGAAAGCGUGGGUAGCAAACAGG
RNAcentral lists this ribosomal RNA (253 nucleotides) under uncultured bacterium. Its description in RNAcentral is "partial 16S ribosomal RNA". It matches the Rfam family "Bacterial small subunit ribosomal RNA", at positions 524 to 776 of the family's 1533-position model. The record is from RNAcentral.